This 484-nucleotide ribosomal RNA is filed under the name uncultured bacterium. Its description in RNAcentral is "partial 16S ribosomal RNA". It matches the Rfam family "Bacterial small subunit ribosomal RNA", at positions 29 to 507 of the family's 1533-position model. The record is from RNAcentral.
AUUGAACGCUGGCGGCAUGCUUUACACAUGCGAGUCGAACGGCAGCGCGGGCUUCGGCCUGGCGGCGAGUGGCGAACGGGUGAGUAAUGCAUCGGAACGUGCCCAGUAGUGGGGGAUAGCCCGGCGAAAGCCGGAUUAAUACCGCAUACGACCUGAGGGUGAAAGCGGGGGACCGAAAGGCCUCGCGCUAUUGGAGCGGCCGAUGUCGGAUUAGCUAGUUGGUGGGGUAAAGGCUUACCAAGGCGACGAUCCGUAGCUGGUCUGAGAGGACGACCAGCCAAACUGGGACUGAGACACGGCCCAGACUCCUACGGGAGGCAGCAGUGGGGAAUUUUGGACAAUGGGGGCAAACCUGAUCCAGCCAUGCCGCGUGCGGGAAGAAGGCCUUCGGGUUGUAAAACGCUUUUGUUCGGGAAGAAAUCCUGUGGGCUAAUACCCCGGGGGGAUGACGGUACCGGAAGAAUAAGCACCGGCUAACUACGUG